GAUGAACGCUGGCGGCGUGCCUAAUACAUGCAAGUCGAGCGAACAGACGAGGAGCUUGCUCCUCUGACGUUAGCGGCGGACGGGUGAGUAACACGUGGAUAACCUACCUAUAAGACUGGGAUAACUUCGGGAAACCGGAGCUAAUACCGGAUAAUAUAUUGAACCGCAGGGUUCAAUAGUGAAAGACGGUUUUGCUGUCACUUAUAGAUGGAUCCGCGCCGCAUUAGCUAGUUGGUAAGGUAACGGCUUACCAAGGCAACGAUGCGUAGCCGACCUGAGAGGGUGGUAGGCCACACUGGAGCUGAGACACGGUCCAGACGCCUACGGGAGGCAGCAGUAGGGAAUCUUACGCAAUGGGCGAAAGCCUGACGGAGCAACGCCGCGUGAGUGAUGAAGGUCUUCGGAUCGGAAAACUCUGUUAUUAGGGAAGAACAAAUGUGUAAGUAACUAUGCACGUCUUGACGGUACCUAAUCAGAAAGCCACGGCUAACUACGUG
Molecule: ribosomal RNA, 497 nt
Filed under: uncultured bacterium
Lineage: Bacteria
Description: partial 16S ribosomal RNA
Rfam family: Bacterial small subunit ribosomal RNA
Source: RNAcentral